This 113-nucleotide non-coding RNA is filed under the name Duganella sp. Root198D2. RNAcentral describes it as "TPP riboswitch aptamer (THI element)". It matches the Rfam family "TPP riboswitch aptamer (THI element)". Rfam says of the family: Vitamin B(1) in its active form thiamin pyrophosphate (TPP) is an essential coenzyme that is synthesised by coupling of pyrimidine and thiazole moieties in bacteria. The previously detected thiamin-regulatory element, thi box was extended, resulting in a new, highly conserved RNA secondary structure, the THI element, which is widely distributed in eubacteria and also occurs in some archaea. Lineage: Bacteria; Pseudomonadati; Pseudomonadota; Betaproteobacteria; Burkholderiales; Oxalobacteraceae. RNAcentral also lists the same sequence under 1 other name. The record is from Rfam by way of RNAcentral.
GGCACACGCUAGGGGUCCUGUGCGCUCAGUUUCAUAUUGAGCUGCGCGGGUGAGAAAUACCCUCCGAACCUGAUCUGGAUAAUGCCAGCGAAGGGAAGCUUCAGGAUACGCAG